Molecule: long non-coding RNA, 1059 nt
Organism: Marmota flaviventris (yellow-bellied marmot)
Lineage: Eukaryota; Metazoa; Chordata; Mammalia; Rodentia; Sciuridae
Source: RefSeq, a predicted model, not a curated record
UCACACUCGGCGAGGACAAGUUCCUCCAAAGGAAAUAGACCCCUCGUGGGAAACGAAGACGAGAAGAGACCACGUCCAGUUCUCGUUUCUGACCCCUGUCAGUGGGUGCUUCGACGUCAUCACGCAGGACGGGAAUCUCAUCUCCAUGCUGACGUCAUCACGCAGGACGGGAAUCUCAUCUCCAUGCUUGACAUCAUCAUGCAGGACGGGCAUCGCAUCUCCGAGCUUGACGUCAUCACGUCGUACCACGCAGGACGGGAAUCUCAUCUCCGUGCUUGACGUCAUCACGCAGGACGGGCCUCCAUCCCCAGAAUGGCACCACCCAGAAGGCCAGUAGCUCACACCAGGCGUGGAACCACCCUGUGACCCAGAACUGAUCCUGAAAAACUCAAGUCCUCUUGCUGCAGUGACCCCCUGCACACACCCAGGUUCCCAGCGGCACAGUUCACAGUAGCCAGACUACGGAACCAGCUCAGGGGUCCGUCAGUGGACAUCCAUUUCUGUCAAGAAAUGUGGUCUCUCUGCACUCUGGAGUACUACUCGGCCGUGAAAAAGAAUGAAACGAUGGCGUUUGCAGGAAAACAGAUGGAACUAGAGACCACGAGGCUAAGAGAAAUAAGUCCAUCUCAGAAGGUCCAGGGCGGGCAGCUCGGAACAGGCAGGAAACCCAAGCAGCCAUCAGGCUCCGGCCUGUGCUCUCGGGUAGAACCCUGGGGAACAACAGGGAUGGCGUCUGGCCCGCAGCCCGGAUUCCACCUUCUCCAGAACCAGCUACAAAUCCUGCGUCAACGAGGAAAUGCGCUCUGGGGCCGGCAGCUCGCGGGAAAUCCGGGGCUGCGCUGCGGGGGGCGAUCCGUCCGGUUAGCAGAGCAGUGCAUGAGGAUGUCACCCCGAGGAGGACCUGGCAAAGCCGGCGCCGAGUGGCAGGUGCUUCCAAGCCCCAAAGGAGCCCCGGUCCUAGAGCCCGGGACACCGCCCUGAGCGCAACGCAUGCACCCCGCGAGGCCCGAGCUGCGCAGCAAGGGGCCUGUCCUCCCCGGAGCUAGGGAGGCUGAGGCA